RNAcentral lists this ribosomal RNA (301 nucleotides) under uncultured bacterium. RNAcentral describes it as "partial 16S ribosomal RNA". It matches the Rfam family "Bacterial small subunit ribosomal RNA", at positions 509 to 809 of the family's 1533-position model. The record is from RNAcentral.
CAGUAGCCACGGGAAUACGAGGGGGGCAAGCGUUGUUCGGAAUUAUUGGGCGUAAAGGGCGCGUAGGCGGUUUGGCAAGUUUGGUGUGAAAUCUUCGGGCUCAACUCGAAGUCUGCAUCGAAAACUGCCGGGCUUGAGUAUGGGAGAGGUGAGUGGAAUUUCCGGUGUAGCGGUGAAAUGCGUAGAUAUCGGAAGGAACACCUGUGGCGAAAGCGGCUCACUGGACCAUAACUGACGCUGAGGCGCGAAAGCUAGGGGAGCAAACAGGAUUAGAUACCCCUGUAGUCCCUGUCUCUUAUAA